GACGAGCGCUGGCGGCGUGCUUAACACAUGCAAGUCGAACGGUAAGGCCCUUCGGGGUACACGAGUGGCGAACGGGUGAGUAACACGUGGGUGAUCUACCCUGCACUUCGGGAUAAGCCUGGGAAACUGGGUCUAAUACCGGAUAGGACUCCGGACUGCAUGGUCUGGGGUGGAAAGCUUUUGCGGUGUGGGAUGGGACCGCGGCCUAUCAGCUUGUUGGUGGGGUGAUGGCCUACCAAGGCGACGACGGGUAGCCGGCCUGAGAGGGUGACCGGCCACACUGGGACUGAGAUACGGCCCAGACUCCUACGGGAGGCAGCAGUGGGGAAUAUUGCACAAUGGGCGCAAGCCUGAUGCAGCGACGCCGCGUGAGGGAUGACGGCCUUCGGGUUGUAAACCUCUUUCAGUAGGGACGAAGCGCAAGUGACGGUACCUACAGAAGAAGGACCGGCCAACUACGUGCCAGCAGCAGCCGCGG
RNAcentral lists this ribosomal RNA (478 nucleotides) under uncultured bacterium. RNAcentral's name for it is "partial 16S ribosomal RNA". It matches the Rfam family "Bacterial small subunit ribosomal RNA", at positions 28 to 523 of the family's 1533-position model. The record is from RNAcentral.